RNAcentral lists this ribosomal RNA (2575 nucleotides) under Staphylococcus aureus M1376. RNAcentral's name for it is "bacterial LSU rRNA". It matches the Rfam family "Bacterial large subunit ribosomal RNA", at positions 343 to 2925 of the family's 2925-position model. Lineage: Bacteria; Bacillati; Bacillota; Bacilli; Caryophanales; Staphylococcaceae. The record is from RNAcentral.
UGGAAAGAUGAAUCAAAGAAGGUAAUAAUCCUGUAGUCGAAAAUGUUGUCUCUCUUGAGUGGAUCCUGAGUACGACGGAGCACGUGAAAUUCCGUCGGAAUCUGGGAGGACCAUCUCCUAAGGCUAAAUACUCUCUAGUGACCGAUAGUGAACCAGUACCGUGAGGGAAAGGUGAAAAGCACCCCGGAAGGGGAGUGAAAUAGAACCUGAAACCGUGUGCUUACAAGUAGUCAGAGCCCGUUAAUGGGUGAUGGCGUGCCUUUUGUAGAAUGAACCGGCGAGUUACGAUUUGAUGCAAGGUUAAGCAGUAAAUGUGGAGCCGUAGCGAAAGCGAGUCUGAAUAGGGCGUUUAGUAUUUGGUCGUAGACCCGAAACCAGGUGAUCUACCCUUGGUCAGGUUGAAGUUCAGGUAACACUGAAUGGAGGACCGAACCGACUUACGUUGAAAAGUGAGCGGAUGAACUGAGGGUAGCGGAGAAAUUCCAAUCGAACCUGGAGAUAGCUGGUUCUCUCCGAAAUAGCUUUAGGGCUAGCCUCAAGUGAUGAUUAUUGGAGGUAGAGCACUGUUUGGACGAGGGGCCCCUCUCGGGUUACCGAAUUCAGACAAACUCCGAAUGCCAAUUAAUUUAACUUGGGAGUCAGAACAUGGGUGAUAAGGUCCGUGUUCGAAAGGGAAACAGCCCAGACCACCAGCUAAGGUCCCAAAAUAUAUGUUAAGUGGAAAAGGAUGUGGCGUUGCCCAGACAACUAGGAUGUUGGCUUAGAAGCAGCCAUCAUUUAAAGAGUGCGUAAUAGCUCACUAGUCGAGUGACACUGCGCCGAAAAUGUACCGGGGCUAAACAUAUUACCGAAGCUGUGGAUUGUCCUUUGGACAAUGGUAGGAGAGCGUUCUAAGGGCGUUGAAGCAUGAUCGUAAGGACAUGUGGAGCGCUUAGAAGUGAGAAUGCCGGUGUGAGUAGCGAAAGACGGGUGAGAAUCCCGUCCACCGAUUGACUAAGGUUUCCAGAGGAAGGCUCGUCCGCUCUGGGUUAGUCGGGUCCUAAGCUGAGGCCGACAGGCGUAGGCGAUGGAUAACAGGUUGAUAUUCCUGUACCACCUAUAAUCGUUUUAAUCGAUGGGGGGACGCAGUAGGAUAGGCGAAGCGUGCGAUUGGAUUGCACGUCUAAGCAGUAAGGCUGAGUAUUAGGCAAAUCCGGUACUCGUUAAGGCUGAGCUGUGAUGGGGAGAAGACAUUGAGUCUUCGAGUCGUUGAUUUCACACUGCCGAGAAAAGCCUCUAGAUAGAAAAUAGGUGCCCGUACCGCAAACCGACACAGGUAGUCAAGAUGAGAAUUCUAAGGUGAGCGAGCGAACUCUCGUUAAGGAACUCGGCAAAAUGACCCCGUAACUUCGGGAGAAGGGGUGCUCUUUAGGGUUAACGCCCAGAAGAGCCGCAGUGAAUAGGCCCAAGCGACUGUUUAUCAAAAACACAGGUCUCUGCUAAACCGUAAGGUGAUGUAUAGGGGCUGACGCCUGCCCGGUGCUGGAAGGUUAAGAGGAGUGGUUAGCUUCUGCGAAGCUACGAAUCGAAGCCCCAGUAAACGGCGGCCGUAACUAUAACGGUCCUAAGGUAGCGAAAUUCCUUGUCGGGUAAGUUCCGACCCGCACGAAAGGCGUAACGAUUUGGGCACUGUCUCAACGAGAGACUCGGUGAAAUCAUAGUACCUGUGAAGAUGCAGGUUACCCGCGACAGGACGGAAAGACCCCGUGGAGCUUUACUGUAGCCUGAUAUUGAAAUUCGGCACAGCUUGUACAGGAUAGGUAGGAGCCUUUGAAACGUGAGCGCUAGCUUACGUGGAGGCGCUGGUGGGAUACUACCCUAGCUGUGUUGGCUUUCUAACCCGCACCACUUAUCGUGGUGGGAGACAGUGUCAGGCGGGCAGUUUGACUGGGGCGGUCGCCUCCUAAAAGGUAACGGAGGCGCUCAAAGGUUCCCUCAGAAUGGUUGGAAAUCAUUCAUAGAGUGUAAAGGCAUAAGGGAGCUUGACUGCGAGACCUACAAGUCGAGCAGGGUCGAAAGACGGACUUAGUGAUCCGGUGGUUCCGCAUGGAAGGGCCAUCGCUCAACGGAUAAAAGCUACCCCGGGGAUAACAGGCUUAUCUCCCCCAAGAGUUCACAUCGACGGGGAGGUUUGGCACCUCGAUGUCGGCUCAUCGCAUCCUGGGGCUGUAGUCGGUCCCAAGGGUUGGGCUGUUCGCCCAUUAAAGCGGUACGCGAGCUGGGUUCAGAACGUCGUGAGACAGUUCGGUCCCUAUCCGUCGUGGGCGUAGGAAAUUUGAGAGGAGCUGUCCUUAGUACGAGAGGACCGGGAUGGACAUACCUCUGGUGUACCAGUUGUCGUGCCAACGGCAUAGCUGGGUAGCUAUGUGUGGACGGGAUAAGUGCUGAAAGCAUCUAAGCAUGAAGCCCCCCUCAAGAUGAGAUUUCCCAACUUCGGUUAUAAGAUCCCUCAAAGAUGAUGAGGUUAAUAGGUUCGAGGUGGAAGCAUGGUGACAUGUGGAGCUGACGAAUACUAAUCGAUCGAAGACUUAAUCAA